CCUCCGGAAGUGUGGACAUUGUCAGCUCCACUUCUGCGGUCGCGGAUCAACAGUUGAGGAGCUCAGGCCCAGGACAAUGGUGUGCAUUCCUUGUGUCGUCAUUCCAGUUCUGCUCUGGAUCUACAAAAAAUUCCUGGAGCCAUACAUAUACCCUCUGAUUUCCCCCUUUAUUGGUCGUAUAUGGCCUAAAAAAGCUAAACAAGAAACCAAUGAUACAAACAAAGGCAAAGUAGACUGUAAGGGUGCAGACAUAAAUGGAUUACCAAUAAAAGGACCAACAGAGAUCUCUGAUAAAAAGAAAGACUAAAGCAAUUUCCUAAAGGACCACAUCACGUAAAAAAUGGACCUGAUAAUAUGAAGCAUCUUCCUUGUAACUGUCUUUGACCUUUUUAUCUGAGACCAGAAUUCAGGAUAGAAGUCUAGACACUUACCGGAUACUAAUCAGGAAA
RNA transcript from Sapajus apella (tufted capuchin), 449 nucleotides. It is a transcript of the gene named UPF0729 protein C18orf32 homolog pseudogene, with no coding region annotated. The transcript has a single exon. Lineage: Eukaryota; Metazoa; Chordata; Mammalia; Primates; Cebidae. The record is from RefSeq and is a predicted model, not a curated record.